Molecule: long non-coding RNA, 969 nt
Filed under: Homo sapiens (human)
Lineage: Eukaryota; Metazoa; Chordata; Mammalia; Primates; Hominidae
Description: HSALNT0382196
Source: RNAcentral
UUUUUUUUUAUGUUUUGGGUUUACACUGUUUUUGUGAGUUGUAACGCUUAUCACGAAAGUCUGCAGUUUCAGUCUUGAGGUUAGCGAGACUACAAAACCACCAGGAAGAACGAACGAUUCCAGACGCGCUACCUUGAGAACUGUAACACUCACGGAGAAAGUCUGUAGCUUCGUUUCUGAACGAGCGAGACCACCGAAUCCACCGGACGGAAAAAACUCUCAACACAUCCGAAUAUGGGAAGGAGCAAACUCCAGAAACGCGCCUUUAAGAACUAAGUAACACUCAACUGCGAGGGUCUGCGGCUUCAUUUUUGAAGUCAGACCGAGAACCUACGGAUUCCGGACACAAGUCCAGCUCGUCCAGAACCCCUGGCUGCCAGCACAUUCUCCUGUUGGGCUGACCCAGAUCCUCCUGGCUGCAGUGGACGGGAGGACGCUGAGAAAAGCAGCACAGAUAGAGACACCAAGAAAAUCAGCAUCCUGGCCAUGCCUCACAGGUCAUCAAGGCCCUCAGCAUGGUCACCCAAGGAGGCUGAGCCCUCUGUAACCUGGCCAGCUUCAGUUCCCGGAACGUUUGCUGAAACUGUCAGCAAGCACAUGGAUUUCAAUGCAAUUACAAAAGCUAUAAGAACAAGAAGUGCAUUCAUUCAUUAGCAAAUUACACUAAAUUAUCUUAGCAAAUAAGGCAAAAUGUCAGUCAGUGGCUGGCAGGCUCUGCAGACACAUCAGUCCCUCUUCCCCACCUCCAACAAUGGUGCCACACUCUGCAGGGACUUUUUAGGAGAGGAUAUUGCAACAUGAGGAGCAGGAAGGAAACAGAAUAGAGUGUAGACCAGCACCCAGGGAGCAUGCUGGCCUGUAAAUUAGGGUGGGUAGGUAGGUAGGCAGGUGGACUUCAGAUAGGUGAGUUUUGAGACUGAGGAAGAACUAGAGGCCAGAGAGCUGCAAGGAGGAGGGUGGGGGUGGUAG